CCUUAGUACGAGAGGACCGGGAUGGACAUACCUCUGGUGUACCAGUUGUCGUGCCAACGGCAUAGCUGGGUAGCUAUGUAUGGACGGGAUAAGUGCUGAAAGCAUCUAAGCAUGAAGCCCCCCUCAAGAUGAGAUUUCCCAACUUCGGUUAUAAGAUCCCUCAAAGAUGAUGAGGUUAAUAGGUUCGGGGUGGAAGCAUAGCGAUAUGUGGAGCUGACGAAUACUAAUCGAUUGAAGACUUAAUCAAAUUUC
RNAcentral lists this ribosomal RNA (252 nucleotides) under Staphylococcus simulans UMC-CNS-990. Its description in RNAcentral is "partial 23S ribosomal RNA". It matches the Rfam family "Bacterial large subunit ribosomal RNA", at positions 2676 to 2925 of the family's 2925-position model. Lineage: Bacteria; Bacillati; Bacillota; Bacilli; Caryophanales; Staphylococcaceae. The record is from RNAcentral.